UACACAUGCAAGUCGAACGGCAGCACGGGGGCAACCCUGGUGGCGAGUGGCGAACGGGUGAGUAAUACAUCGGAACGUGUCCUGUAGUGGGGGAUAGCCCGGCGAAAGCCGGAUUAAUACCGCAUACGCUCGAGAGAGGAAAGUGGGGGAUCUUCGGACCUCACGCUAAAGGGGCGGCCGAUGGCAGAUUAGCUAGUUGGUGGGGUAAAGGCCUACCAAGGCGACGAUCUGUAGCUGGUCUGAGAGGACGACCAGCCACACUGGGACUGAGACACGGCCCAGACUCCUACGGGAGGCAGCAGUGGGGAAUUUUGGACAAUGGGGGCAACCCCUGAUCCAGCAAUGCCGCGUGUGUGAAGAAGGCCUUCGGUUGUA
RNAcentral lists this ribosomal RNA (375 nucleotides) under uncultured bacterium. RNAcentral describes it as "bacterial SSU rRNA". It matches the Rfam family "Bacterial small subunit ribosomal RNA", at positions 50 to 427 of the family's 1533-position model. The record is from RNAcentral.